This 21-nucleotide microRNA is filed under the name Monodelphis domestica (gray short-tailed opossum). RNAcentral's name for it is "mdo-miR-12315-3p". Lineage: Eukaryota; Metazoa; Chordata; Mammalia; Didelphimorphia; Didelphidae. The record is from miRBase by way of RNAcentral.
CCUGCUCUCUGGCUGUGGCGG